This is a long non-coding RNA of Strigops habroptila (Kakapo), 3853 nucleotides long. RefSeq lists it as uncharacterized. The record is from RefSeq and is a predicted model, not a curated record. The transcript is spliced from 2 exons. NCBI's taxonomy places the organism in Eukaryota, Metazoa, Chordata, Aves, Psittaciformes, Psittacidae.
GGUCACACAGUGCAGCGUAUCGGCUGGCUGAGGGCCGCACCUUCUUUGGCUUGGUUGUCUGAGGUGGUUGUUGCCACUGAGCUACAGAUUGAAAAGGGAAGAAAAAAUGUUAGCCAUCAUCUGAGCUGGGCAAUGAAGUGUGCCAGAUCCACCCUUUGUAAAGGAGAUACUAACUUCUGAGCUGCCAACAACCAUUGUAUCAGAGUCAGGUCUCCAGGAGCCUGCAGGAAAUGAGGCCGGAAGAAUCGUUCCUGAAUGGGUUCAUUUUCAUCACCACUGUCCCUUGAUCGAGAUCGUGGUCUUAAAAUAACAUAAAAUAAAGGUAAAUUAUUUUUCUCUGCUAAAUCAGAACCACCAAAAUCACUUACAUACAUUGCUUUGAAUUUUAAAUCACUCCUUUGACCUAUGCCAUAAUCACUCUGUAUUUACACACAUACACUGAGCACUUGGCUCAGACCGAGUUAAUUAUGACACAGUACUUAAUUACUUUCAUUUAACUCACGUUAUGGCAAAAUAUGAUCUAGAAGACAAUCUUGCUACAGAAUAAUUGCUUGUAGCAAUCUUUUAUUUAUACAUGGUAGUAUUUUUGUUUAGAGUUGGUCCUUAAAUGACUGAAACACAAAUAAAAUAACUCAGUAGGCCUUAGCAUAAAGCUCAGUUCCUCAUUUCUGGUGUUCGGUGUAUUUAAUCCCUUCACUGUUGCUGAUGACACCACCAAGUGUGUGUAGUUCAUUAAUUACAUUUAUCUUUCAGAAAAAAACAGCAGCUAAAAGCUAUCUUAUCUCAGCUGAGGAGAGACUUCUCACAACAGACUGACUUUUCACCAUCUCUUGUUCUGCACUACCAAAGACUAUACAGAAAAGUCUGUGGAUUAAAGUGCUGUGGGUAUUUAUUCCUCAUUUAGCAGUUUUUUGUUUGAGAUAGAUAGAUAGUCUUGAACACUUUCAAAGCCACUAAACUGUGGUGUCAAAACCAUGAGGAUUUCAUUUGUGAGCACCAGGAAGAAAAGCUUCCGUCACUAGAUUGUUCUUUAUAAAGGUGCUGUGAAAAGUUCAAUAAAAAAUAAAAAGAAGGAAAAAUAACUCCUGUCCCCAGAAACAGCAUCAAUCAUCUUAAACCUCCAGGAUAUCAUUUAAUCCAUUGCACUGGCUGUUCUUGCCUGUUAAUUUAAUCUAUUAAAUCUUUUUCUAAGUGGUUCCUCAUUUAACUGGAUUUUUCCCCAAUUGAAAUCAACAUUAUUCCACUUGUGUGAUUCGGUAAUCAGAGAGGCUUGGAACUGAAACAGAAUUUGAGAUCAGUUUUUGUCCUUGCCUGAUCAGCUCCAGUGGGUCCCAUUCUGGAGCCAGCUGCUGCCUUGCAAUGACAUCCUGUUGCAGUGAAGAGGAGCUAUUCAGCUGUCCUCCAGGGUAACUUACAUCAGUGACACUGUACAGUGAAAUUCUCUUUUGUGAAUCUCAUUUUCCGUUACCUUUUGCCAGUGUUUCUGUGUCUGCAGGAUACAUGCUGCACUAUACGUGGCUAUACUGUGUUUUAUACUGCCCAGGGGGGUUUCUUUAGGUUAAAAUAAUUCAUAACAAAAAAAGCUCAAACCUCCCAACAGUUACAUCUGGAAAACAAGAUGCUGUACUACUGUGCAGCAGAUAAACACUCCAGCUGCACACUGAGGGGAAGCAUAGUUAAGAGUUGCUUGAAUCUCGUGUGUUUUGUCCUUCUCUGUUGUUGCCCUUCUCUCUAUUACUGCUCUGUUUGACUUCUGAAUUAUCUCUCCUAAAUAGAUAACUUUUAAUGAUCAUCACAGGCUUCCCAUAGCUAUAACUAAAGGCAGAUGUGUGUGUCUGGGAAAUCUAUCCUGUACUGCUUAUCAGCGUACAAUGGAUACCAAACUGGGCAACGCAGACUGGCACUUUGCACAUCAUAAAAGCUUGAGUAACUCUUGAGGUGCCCCUGGCCAGGUCUGGAGCACUUAAUAUUUUUUUUUUCUACUUGAACAUGCCUAAAGCUACUUCAGUAGCUGCUGUGUUACAGCUCAUGAGCAAGACUAAGCUCUAGUUGGCAAGUUCCUAACUGAUUUCUGCAGACAUCCAUGCCUUGUGUGCGUGUAGGUGGGGUAGAGAUGGAUGGAAGCAAAGAAAACCUGUACUUGUAUCUUUUGGUUAUUCGUUUUGCAAGACUACCUGGAAGUGAUGGAUCUGGGCACGUGAGUUCUACACAGUGUGGGCAACCCACAGAACAUCCGUCUUCAUAGUGCUCAUGUGCGUCCUGUUUAGGUGCUGUUGAUAAAGCACCUAUGAAGUACAAGUAACCAGUGCAAGGCUGAGCCAAACAGGUCAACUAGCCCAUCUGAAAGCCACCACCUCACUGCUGCAGCUCCAUGGAAAGGCAGCUCUGAUCAAAACAGGGGAGAAAUUACAGAGUUUGUGACCAAAGCUGGUUUUUUGAUAGUAUGUUUUCGAAUUGUGCAAACUAAGUCUUCGAAUUACACAUGUGAAAGGAAACCUAAAUGAGCAAGCUGUUCGGAGUCAGAAGUAAAUGACACGUUUCUUUUUACCUCUUUGUAAACUUGCCUCUGGAAUUGCAGACUUACUUUUUAAGCAUUUUUACCUUGAGAGGUGAAACUAAGGUUAUUUUAAUUGUAAAACAUUUUGUGGUUUUCAAGAAACAACAAAAUGAGUAGAGCCAAGUACUUCAGAUGUCUAGGAAUGACAAAUUGCAGGAGACUGGAAUACCCUUGGAUUAGCCGUGUGUUCUUCAGAGCUGUGAUGUGGGCAUCAAAUUGCAGAAACUAGUUUCAGCAAUACUGAUAUCAUGUACUAAAUGUGGCCAGGAGAGACUCUGUGGGCUGCUGUGGUGCAACGCACCAGGAAUGUCGGCGAGUGAGAAGCUGGGGAAGACUUUAUGACUGACCAUAUGAUAAUGAUCACUAAUUUGGGAUAAACGAGAUUAAGUUCAAAUUAAUCCUCUAAUUAAGAGCAAGGGCAAUAGGACUAUUUCUUUUUUAAAUCUUCCCUAAAUCUUAUGCAUUGUAGGAUGAUUUAUGUGGGGCUCUGGCUGCAGCGCACCACGAGAGAGCUACAGUGUUGAGCACCGUGGCGCCUAAGGGGUUGACCCACAGCUUGGUACACAUCGGACAGUUCAAAAGUUCCCUCCCCACUGACAAAGUAAUGCUAAGAAUGUGCUGUUUGCAAGCUAAGCACAUUUAAGAAAAAUAUAUCAAAAACGGAAUAAUAACUACAAAGAGUGCUUUAAAAUGUCCAUGACGUGGUGAAGAUGACAAAAACUAGAGUUCUGCCAGAACACAUUCUGUGUGAGAGAUUAAAAGUACUUCAGGAAAAAGCCUGUCAAUGGUGUAACAAGUCAUAAAGUUCAUUAAGCUAAUAAUUAUACUUGUAAAAAAAGCCCAACACUUGUUGCUCUCAAGCAGAAAAGCUUAUAGAAAUCAUACUGUAAUCCCAGGAAUAUCACUUAUCAAAAGUACCCAGCGUGCAUGUGACAAAUACCACAGCACAGGGGGGUGCGUUACAAGCGAACAGCCGGUGGCAGGGGCUGUUUUAGGGGGACACAACAACCCCCCUGGCCUUGGUGACACUGGCUGGUGGGAGGAGUGGGAAACGUCCCCUAAGCAGAAAUAGAAGUGUGCUGAAUGCUGAGCAGAAAGAGACCUUCCAUAAGUAAAAGUAUCAAGGGUUCGCUCUGCACAUAGGGUCAUUUUACAGGAAAUAAGAAUCCCCAAUAAUUGCCCUAAUUUUAAUUAAACUGCUAUAUAGAAAUCUCUUAUUUAUAAUUUGUUACUCUACUGGACACCCAGCCGUAGUGAUAGUGUCUGCCUGAAAAUAAAGCAUCAGCCAUAAGCAGC